Molecule: ribosomal RNA, 451 nt
Filed under: uncultured bacterium
Lineage: Bacteria
Description: bacterial SSU rRNA
Rfam family: Bacterial small subunit ribosomal RNA
Source: RNAcentral
AACGAACGCUGGCGGCAUGCCUAACACAUGCAAGUCGAACGAGACCUUCGGGUCUAGUGGCGCACGGGUGCGUAACGCGUGGGAACCUGCCUUUAGGUUCGGAAUAACUCAGAGAAAUUUGAGCUAAUACCGGAUAAUGUCUUCGGACCAAAAGAUUUAUCGCCUUUAGAUGGGCCCGCGUAAGAUUAGCUAGUUGGUGGAGUAAAGGCCUACCAAGGCGACGAUCUUUAGCUGGUCUGAGAGGAUGAUCAGCCACACUGGGACUGAGACACGGCCCAGACUCCUACGGGAGGCAGCAGUGGGGAAUAUUGGACAAUGGGCGAAAGCCUGAUCCAGCAAUGCCGCGUGAGUGAUGAAGGCCUUAGGGUUGUAAAGCUCUUUUACCCGAGAUGAUAAUGACAGUAUCGGGAGAAUAAGCUCCGGCUAACUCCGUGCCAGCAGCCGCGGUAAU